RNAcentral lists this long non-coding RNA (1397 nucleotides) under Vigna radiata. Its description in RNAcentral is "long non-coding RNA (VRAD_LNC005102)". The record is from RNAcentral. Lineage: Eukaryota; Viridiplantae; Streptophyta; Magnoliopsida; Fabales; Fabaceae.
AUAGAUUAUAGAAAGAUUUACAAAAUCUAACUAAAAAAACAGACAACCGCCCAGGCGCCUAAUUUGACCGCUCAACGGUUUGCCUCUUGCCGCUUUGACUGCUCAGCGGUCAGUUCUGCCGCUGAGCGGUUUCCCUCUAAUCGCUCUGAGCGCUCAAUGGACCAUUCUGGCGCUCAGCGGCUUGCUUGACCCUACUUUUCAUCAUUUUUCUCCUUCUUUCAUGGGUCUAAGUUUCCCUUACUUCACUUCCAUAUUUAAUUCAUCUAAAAACCCUGCAAAACAAUGCAAAACAAGCAUAAUAUCACUAAAACCAACUUUUGACUCUCAAGAGACUCAACUAAGUGUUUUACUUUAUUUAAAGCUCAUUCUAAGCCAUAAAGGGUGUGUUUUACUAUCAAAUUUAUAUAUGAAAAUAACAGGUUUUAGACCGUUAUCAAUAGGCUAGAACUCCUCUCUCCCCUAAACCCAUAACCACCCAACCAGAUUUUCCUUCUUGGAGCCCCAAUUCCUCACCUCCAACACUUCACCAUCAGCUUGAGCAUUCAUGACUCCAUCCCCUUAACACGAACUCUCAUUUGCAUACAAAGAAAAAAAAGGCCAGCCAGAAGAGGGAGAGAAUACAAUAGUGAAAAAAAAGAGCACAAGAUUGACCACGCCUUAGAGGGAACAUUCUUUCACCAUCCACGGCUUAGAGGGAACACUCUUUCACCAUCAUCGCUCCUGCAAGAGCAUUGGGUAACCAAAAGAAAGUUCAAUCAAGAAAGCAGAGGAAACCAUAAUCAAAAGGAGAAGUUCUGAAGCCGCGAAGGUAAGUCUCUCUAUUAUGUCUGGAUAAGAAUGAAUGGUGUUUGAUGAGUGUAUAUAGUUGGAUUUAUUUUCUCUGGACAUGAAUGAAUGGUGUUUGAUGAGGGCAUACAGUUGGGUUUAUCUCCUUUGUGGUUUCAUCCGAUAAUCAAAAUACACCUAAGAUGUAAUUCCUAUUGCCUGCAAAUUCAAUCAGAUUUAACUAACAAUAUAGGCAUUCACUCCCCCAACAUCAAGACCUGAAUACCCGUUUACUUCUGCCCAAAACACACUAAAAAAAUAACAUAGAGAAGGUAUUGGACCAGGACCAAUUACCAAGUAGUAUAAUCCCGACACCUGCACACAGCAAUUGUUAUCGUCUUGUUAGGUCUGAUGAUGUUUGGUUUGGAUUUCUGCUGGCGUUUGAAUUGAACUUGUAGCUACAUUGGAAUGUUACUUUAUCUGGUUCUGUAGCCUUGUUUUCCAUUCAUCCAUCAUCAACUUAGGUCCGUUACCUUUCCCUAUGCUUUCUCACCCUCAUCGCGCAGCCACGAACCAACCAUCUUUCCCCCAUCAUAUAGAACUCAUUCACGACACCAAUCGGAAUAUCACUC